CAAUGUUUCCGAGUUCGUAGACCAUUUGGGACCCAAUUUCAACAAGUCUUUCUCAACACAUCUAAACACUCUUCAUGCAUCUUUAGUACUUGUAAUCUAUCAAAUUUAUUGUAUUCUAACAUAUUCUAACCCCAAACAACACUAGAUAAGUCAUUUAGUGGUUCAACGCAAUGUUUCCAAGUUCUUAGCCCAUUUGGGACNNN
RNAcentral lists this long non-coding RNA (203 nucleotides) under Capsella rubella. Its description in RNAcentral is "long non-coding RNA (CRUB_LNC000025)". Lineage: Eukaryota; Viridiplantae; Streptophyta; Magnoliopsida; Brassicales; Brassicaceae. The record is from RNAcentral.